RNAcentral lists this unclassified non-coding RNA (659 nucleotides) under Hevea brasiliensis (rubber tree). Lineage: Eukaryota; Viridiplantae; Streptophyta; Magnoliopsida; Malpighiales; Euphorbiaceae. The record is from RNAcentral.
AAAAAGGCCAGGGACCAUUACAACAAACAAGAGAGGGAUAGAUCCUCAAAUCAACUUCGCUUAAAUUCUCCUUAAAAAUCAAAAUCAAACUAACAAAAAAAUGGGCUCUAACAGGUUGCCCUAACCCACAAACAAAAAAGGCCUAAGGCUCAAAAAAACAUAAGAACCCUAACUCUAGCUUAACCCAAAGAAAGAGUCAAGUACCAAGGAAGGAGAUGUUGCCCUCGAAGCAAACAAUCCUUACUACUCGCCCAAGAGUUGCGACCACCAACAAUGAAGCGUAGAGGAAUCGCCCAGCCACCAACACCCAACAUAGCAAACCCACUAGCAACAGAACACCAGGAAGAAGAACAACCAUUAGAACCCAUUUACAGCAACAAAGUAAACAUAGGAAACCAUGGAGAAGAAUAGGAUCUAAAGCUAAGCAGAACCACGGGUGCGAGGCAGAGCUCUUUUGCACUCUAGCCUGGAUGCCCAUAGAGGAAGCACGAGUAACGUCUCCAAGAGAUACAUUCCCCGUCUAAAAGGAUCAACCUAUUGUUCUAAGAACCUGUUUACUUAAGUUAAAGAAGAAAACCAAUCAUUGUCCCCACCCUGCAUGCAAGUUAAACACAACAAAAUCGAUCAAAAGAACCCUCUCCGGUAAAAACAUCAGAUCA